GGUUGCCAGUUUCCUUCCUUGACAUGGCUCCAUGCCACCAGACAGAGGCAUUGCGUUCUCUGUGUCCUGUAUUUGGAGCAUGGCCCACUGCAGUGAGGAGCAGCUCUCCAGGCUUGUGGAGCAGAGGCCACCCAUCAGGCUCCUGGUCACCUUCCUGUGGAAUUACUGUCAAGUCAGCUCUGGGUUCUGCAGCCAGAAAUUCAGCUUCAGGCACCAUCCACAGGGAGGCCUGGGAGGAGUACACGGUUGUUUUCCACAACAUCAACCUCCAAGAGUCAGGGAUGCUCCUUAACAACCUGCUAUGGAUUGACCAGGAAUUUAUUUAAGCCCUCCCUGAACCUGUUUAUGUUUCAAUAAACUCUUUUAUUGAUCCUCUUAA
Symphalangus syndactylus (siamang) is the source of this 379-nucleotide long non-coding RNA. RefSeq lists it as uncharacterized. The record is from RefSeq and is a predicted model, not a curated record. NCBI's taxonomy places the organism in Eukaryota, Metazoa, Chordata, Mammalia, Primates, Hylobatidae.